RNAcentral lists this unclassified non-coding RNA (143 nucleotides) under Sphaerulina chaenomelis. RNAcentral's name for it is "partial internal transcribed spacer 2". The record is from RNAcentral. Lineage: Eukaryota; Fungi; Ascomycota; Dothideomycetes; Mycosphaerellales; Mycosphaerellaceae.
CACCACUCAAGCCUCGCUUGGUAUUGGGCGCCGCGGUUUGUCCGCGCGCCUCAAAGUCUCCGGCUGAGCUGUCCGUCUCCUAGCGUUGUGAUUUCAUUAAUCGCUUCGGAGUGCGGGUGGCCGCGGCCGUUAAAUCUUUCAAA